UGCCUCGAGAGCAAUGGGGAUGGUUGAUGAAUUUCUAUGCAAGGAUUUGUAGAGGAAAUGAGUAGUAACGAAAGUGACUUUGAUUCCUUUGUGUUGUAAGCGCUUGGAGAAUUGGAGCAUGGGAUUUAUAUGGCCUUGUCCUGGAUAGGUUAAGACCAAACAGUGAGCCAAUUUGCUGGAGGAAGCUUUCUUUUCAUUAUUCGCCAUUUAUUUUUUGCUCUCUCUCUCUCUCUCUCUAUCCCGUCGCUCAUGUAUUGAUUGAUAGGAAAGUUCAAGACAUAAUAUAUAGGGUCACCUUAUGAUACGUAACAUACACACUCACAGCAAUAAUAACAAAUCCUAUCAUUAAUAUUGUUACUGUAAAUGUGUGUAUGUUACACUCAAUCGUAACAUAGCAGUAGCAGGUGGCCUAAUAUAUAUCUUGCAUCAUAAAUUGUUUGAAGUCAUUGCAUACGUCUGCGAAUGUGACUUGACGCAUCUGCUCAUAAAUUAAAAAACUUGAGGUGGUGAUCCAUCAAAUCAUGUCACAUUCCAGUCGGGUAAACAACUUUGCGCUUUCUUCUCAUUUGCAUCAUACAUCAUAGGUCAUACGAAUUUUUUCUUAAAGCUCUUGGAGAAUUGGAGCAUGGGAUUUAGAUGGCCUUGUCCUGGAUAGGUUAAGACCAAACAGUGAGCCAAUUUGCUGGAGGAAGCUUUCUUUUCAUUAUUCGCCAUUUAUUUUUUGCUCUCUCUCUCUCUCUCUCUAUCCCGUCGCUCAUGUAUUGAUUGAUAGGAAAGUUCAAGACAUAAUAUAUAGGGUCACCUUAUGAUACGUAACAUACACACUCACAGCAAUAAUAACAAAUCCUAUCAUUAAUAUUGUUACUGUAAAUGUGUGUAUGUUACACUCAAUCGUAACAUAGCAGUAGCAGGUGGCCUAAUAUAUAUCUUGCAUCAUAAAUUGUUUGAAGUCAUUGCAUACGUCUGCGAAUGUGACUUGACGCAUCUGCUCAUAAAUUAAAAAACUUGAGGUGGUGAUCCAUCAAAUCAUGUCACAUUCCAGUCGGGUAAACAACUUUGCGCUUUCUUCUCAUUUGCAUCAUACAUCAUAGGUCAUACGAAUUUUUUCUUAAAGCUCUUGGAGAAUUGGAGCAUGGGAUUUAGAUGGCCUUGUCCUGGAUAGGUUAAGACCAAACAGUGAGCCAAUUUGCUGGAGGAAGCUUUCUUUUCAUUAUUCGCCAUUUAUUUUUUGCUCUCUCUCUCUCUAU
RNAcentral lists this long non-coding RNA (1247 nucleotides) under Citrus sinensis (sweet orange). RNAcentral's name for it is "long non-coding RNA (CSIN_LNC000745)". The record is from RNAcentral. Lineage: Eukaryota; Viridiplantae; Streptophyta; Magnoliopsida; Sapindales; Rutaceae.